Molecule: ribosomal RNA, 375 nt
Filed under: uncultured bacterium
Lineage: Bacteria
Description: bacterial SSU rRNA
Rfam family: Bacterial small subunit ribosomal RNA
Source: RNAcentral
AAACGUAGGACGCGAGCGUUAUCCGGAUUUACUGGGCGUAGAGCGCGGGCAGGCGGUGGUCCAAGUCGGACGUGAAAGCUCCCGGCUCAACUGGGAGAGGUCGUUCGAAACUGGGCCGCUGGAGGGCAGUAGAGGGGCGUGGAAUUCCGGGUGGAGUGGUGAAAUGCGUAGAGAUCCGGAGGAACACCAGAGGCGAAGGCGGCGCCCUGGGCUGCACCUGACGCUGAGCCGCGAAAGCUAGGGGAGCGAACGGGAUUAGAAACCCCGGUAGUCCUAGCCGUAAACGAUGUCCACUAGAUGUCCGGGCUGAAGGGUCCGGGUGUCGCAGCUAACGCGUUAAGUGGACCGCCUGGGGAGUACGGCCGCAAGGCUAAA